CUGACCCAGGCAGUGGUGUCCUGACCCAGGCAGUGGGGCCCUGACCCAGGCAGUGGUGUCCUGACCCAGGCAGUGGUGUCCUGAUCCAGGCAGUGGGGCCCUGAUCCAGGCAGUGGUGCCCUGAUCCAGGCAGUGGGGCCCUGAUCCAGGCAGUGGUAUCCUGAUCCAGGCAGUGGUGUCCUGACCCAGGCAGUGGUGUCCUGAUCCAGGCAGUGGGGCCCUGACCCAGGCAGUGGGGCCCUGACCCAGGCAGUGGGGCCCUGACCCAGGCAGUGGGGCCCUGACCCAGGCAGUGGUGUCCUG
RNAcentral lists this long non-coding RNA (303 nucleotides) under Marmota monax (woodchuck). The record is from RNAcentral. Lineage: Eukaryota; Metazoa; Chordata; Mammalia; Rodentia; Sciuridae.